This 202-nucleotide ribosomal RNA is filed under the name Pantoea agglomerans. Its description in RNAcentral is "partial 16S ribosomal RNA". It matches the Rfam family "Bacterial small subunit ribosomal RNA", at positions 330 to 524 of the family's 1533-position model. The record is from RNAcentral. Lineage: Bacteria; Pseudomonadati; Pseudomonadota; Gammaproteobacteria; Enterobacterales; Erwiniaceae.
ACGGGGGGCCUACGGGAGGCAGCAGUGGGGAAUAUUGCACAAUGGGCGCAAGCCUGAUGCAGCCAUGCCGCGUGUAUGAAGAAGGCCUUCGGGUUGUAAAGUACUUUCAGCGAGGAGGAAGGCAUUAAGGUUAAUAACCUUGGUGAUUGACGUUACUCGCAGAAGAAGCACCGGCUAACUCCGUGCCAGCAGCCGCGGUAAU